UGCAAGUCGAACGAUGAAGCCCUUCGGGGUGGNNUAGUGGCGAACGGGUGAGUAACACGUGGGCAAUCUGCCCUGCACUCUGGGACAAGCCCUGGAAACGGGGUCUAAUACCGGAUAUGACUGUCCACCGCAUGGUGGAUGGUGUAAAGCUCCGGCGGUGCAGGAUGAGCCCGCGGCCUAUCAGCUUGUUGGUGAGGUAGUGGCUCACCAAGGCGACGACGGGUAGCCGGCCUGAGAGGGCGACCGGCCACACUGGGACUGAGACACGGCCCANACUCCUACGGGAGGCAGCAGUGGGGAAUAUUGCACAAUGGGCGAAAGCCUGAUGCAGCGACGCCGCGUGAGGGAUGACGGCCUUCGGGUUGUAAACCUCUUUCAGCAGGGAAGAAGCGAAAGUGACGGUACCUGCAGAAGAAGCGCCGGCUAACUACGUGCCAGCAGCCGCGGUAAUACGUAGGGCGCAAGCGUUGUCCGGAAUUAUUGGGCGUAAAGAGCUCGUAGGCGGCUUGUCACGUCGGUUGUGAAAGCCCGGGGCUUAACCCCGGGUCUGCAGUCGAUACGGGCAGGCUAGAGUUCGGUAGGGGAGAUCGGAAUUCCUGGUGUAGCGGUGAAAUGCGCAGAUAUCAGGAGGAACACCGGUGGCGAAGGCGGAUCUCUGGGCCGAUACUGACGCUGAGGAGCGAAAGCGUGGGGAGCGAACAGGAUUAGAUACCCUGGUAGUCCACGCCGUAAACGGUGGGCACUAGGUGUGGGCAACAUUCCCACGUUGUCCGUGCCGCAGCUAACGCAUUAAGUGCCCCGCCUGGGGAGUACGGCCGCAA
Molecule: ribosomal RNA, 821 nt
Filed under: actinobacterium CP37a
Lineage: Bacteria; Bacillati; Actinomycetota; Actinomycetes
Description: bacterial SSU rRNA
Rfam family: Bacterial small subunit ribosomal RNA
Source: RNAcentral